Long non-coding RNA from Perca fluviatilis (European perch), 1090 nucleotides. RefSeq lists it as uncharacterized. The transcript is spliced from 3 exons. The record is from RefSeq and is a predicted model, not a curated record. Lineage: Eukaryota; Metazoa; Chordata; Actinopteri; Perciformes; Percidae.
AAAUAAAAUGGCUGUUAUCUUCACAUUGGAUUACAUUCUUCUGUUAGUCUGCAUUGCUUUUACAUGGUGAUAUCUGAAUAGUUAAUACAAUAGCAAUUGUAUCUUUGCUUAAGCUCUUUUUGUGUUUGUUUCAGAUCAAUGGAUAGCUUUGUCAUUAACACUUUGACAGAGUGCCAGACCUUGUCGAAAGAUUUAAAGUAGCUUCCAUGUAAUGUGUCAAAGUGACUCCAAUAGAUGAAUAGAGCCAGCCACUGGAUUCCUGGAGGAAAGGCUGCGGAACGUCAGGAAGCGGCUGAGAUCAACCAGCAGGUCGCAGAGCACGGCACAGACACCACCACAAAUGCCAGAUGAUGGCGCUCUUGCAAGGGCUCUCAUUCCAGAAUGUACCAUAUCAGACGAACGUGAGUCACAGCUUAAAGAAUGGUUGAGAAACAAUUCUCAGCCCCUCAGUCAGAUAGAGACCUACAUGCAGAACACGGCAGUCUACAGGGCCAAGUGGAUUAGGGACAACAAUUGGACCAUCGAUCAGAUCCUCGACCUAUUGGAGACACAGGUUUUAGUCAAGGACCUUCAUCAGACAUCAAAUUUAUAUUUGAUAUAUUUAGAGCUUUUUCACACUUGGUGCGUUUCAGUCCUCCAAAAGAACUCCAACCCAUUAGUCAGCAUUUUUGUGCAUAUGUCAACACUCCAUUUUAAAGGGGGCUUUCACAACUGCCUUAUUUAGUUCGGUUGAAUUGAGCUAGAGUUUGUUUUCCCCCUUGGUGCAAAGGCAUGGUAGGUAUAGGGAAAUAUGAUCUUACAUAUGAGGAUGCAUUGUUUAUAAUGUUUUAUUAGUGUGCCACAUUGAAUUGGUUUUAAAAAUGUGUUUUCCAUUUUAUAGAUUGCACAGGCUUGUCCUGCAUGGGGAUGCUGCAUCAAAGUUGUUUGAAACUUGGUCAUAUGAAAUGCCAGGAGGGGAGUCUAAAAUGGUAAAGUUUAUUCAAAGUAGAAUACUUGCUUGCAAGUAGAGCUAAUGGCUCUUAAUAGCAGCUUUUUAAUAGGAAUUUGAAUUUGUUCACUAUAGACCUGUUGACUGUUGGCCUGUUGAAUG